Long non-coding RNA from Balaenoptera musculus (blue whale), 1270 nucleotides. RefSeq lists it as uncharacterized. The record is from RefSeq and is a predicted model, not a curated record. NCBI's taxonomy places the organism in Eukaryota, Metazoa, Chordata, Mammalia, Artiodactyla, Balaenopteridae. The transcript has 4 exons.
AAGCUGGCUGCCCUGAGGCCGUGACGCUUAGAGACCAUGCAGUGAGACCGCUAAAAGAUAGAGGGAGGUGCCUGAGGAGCCCCAGCUCUCAGCCUCUAGAUGGUCUUUGAUCCCCACUGACGCCAUGUGAGCAGAGACGAGCCACCCAAGUGCAGAUUCAUGAGCUACAUAAGUGGUGGUUGUCGUUGUAUGCUGCGUUUUGGGGUGGAUUGAUACGCGCCAUUAGCUUUAGUUUUUGAUGCCCCUGGACAGAGGCCUCCCUCUUCUUACCACUGCGAGCAACUUAACCUAAAGUGGUUGGCCCAGGGCACCAAACAGGGCUGUGCAGGGAGACUGUGCAGGGAACUGUGCUGGGUCAUGACCUCACUGAAGUGUCCGGGCUGGACUUUGAACCCGGGUCUGUAGGAUCCUGCGUUUGGUCCUGGCAGGCGGCAGAGGAAGGCACGCAAGCCAGUGGGGCCCAAGUGACUCAGAGCUGGCAGGUCCCCUGGCCCGCCCUUUCCUACUGACUCAGCCCAGGCAAUUCCGCGGGCUUUUCUGUGGAAUUCAGGGCCCCCAGGCAGCGUUCCUGAGUGGCUGCCUUCUCCUGGAUGCACUCCCUGGAGAGCUGGCAGGCGGCUCGUGUUCCCAUGGCAGUCUCUGCUGUGUCCCUCAGCCCAGCCCUGGACCUCCUGAAUGGGACCCCUCAGCCCAGCCCAGCUCCCAGCUCCCAGCCCCUGGGAGCCCAAGUUCAGACAGGCACAAAUCUCUCUGUAAUUGAUCUGAACUGGGAUGAGGGUGAGUCGCCUUUCUGCUCCGCUGCUGCCGAGGCUGCUGAGGGUAGUCAUGGGGGAAAGAGAAGGGGGGACAAGGCCACCCAUUCUCCUCCUGACCCCUGUGGAGUCUCUAGCUCAAUCACGUGAUGCUGGAGGGUGGUUCCUGCAGGCCAUUCCUUCCUCUGCCUCAGGGUGCCCAGCUGUUCCUGCUUUGGGGAACCCAGGGCUCACCCAGGCCACCAAAGCCUCGGGCCUCAGUUGCCCCGAUUUCUGUAAAAUGGUAGUCUUAUUUCCCCAGUGUCAUUCAGAUAUAAUUGAUAUACAAUGUUGCAUUAGUUGAAGGUGUACAGCACAAUGAUUUGAUACAUGUAUAUAUUGUGAAUGAUUACCGCAAUAUGUUUAGUAAACAUCCAUCUCCUCACAUAGCUACAAAUUGUUUUCUUCUUGCCAUGAGAACUUUAAAGAUCUACUCUCUCAGCAACUUUCAACUAUACAAUACAGUAUUGUUAACUGUA